Molecule: ribosomal RNA, 251 nt
Filed under: uncultured prokaryote
Description: partial 16S rRNA
Rfam family: Bacterial small subunit ribosomal RNA
Source: RNAcentral
ACGUAGGGGGCAAGCGUUGUCCGGAAUGAUUGGGCGUAAAGGGUGCGUAGGCGGAUUGGCAAGUCUGGUGUGAAAGUCCCGCGCUCAACGUGGGAAUUGCCUUGGAUACUGUCUAGCUUGAGUGUAGGAGAGGUAAGUGGAAUUUCCGGUGUAGCGGUGAAAUGCGUAGAUAUCGGAAGGAACACCGAUAGCGAAGGCAACUAACUGGACUUUAACUGACGCUGAGGCGCGAAAGUUUGGGGAGCAAACAG